GCCUGGGUGGCUCAGUCGGUUGAGCGUCUGACUUCGGCUCAGGUCAUGAUUUCACAGUUUGUGGGUUCGAGCCCCGUGUCGGGCU
RNAcentral lists this transfer RNA (85 nucleotides) under Felis catus (domestic cat). It matches the Rfam family "tRNA". Rfam says of the family: Transfer RNA (tRNA) molecules are approximately 80 nucleotides in length. The record is from Rfam by way of RNAcentral. Lineage: Eukaryota; Metazoa; Chordata; Mammalia; Carnivora; Felidae. RNAcentral also lists the same sequence under 2 other names.